Molecule: ribosomal RNA, 477 nt
Filed under: uncultured bacterium
Lineage: Bacteria
Description: bacterial SSU rRNA
Rfam family: Bacterial small subunit ribosomal RNA
Source: RNAcentral
CAGGACGAACGCUGGCGGCGUGCUUAACACAUGCAAGCCGAGCGGAGAAUAUAGCAAUAUAUUCUUAGCGGCGGACGGGUGAGUAACGCGUGGGCAAUCUGCCUCAUACAGGGGGAUAACACUGGGAAACUAGUGCUAAUACCGCAUAAAAUAGUGAAGUGGCAUCACUUUACUACCAAAGGAGCAAUCCGGUGUGAGAUGAGCCCGCGUCCGAUUAGCUAGUUGGAGGGGUAACGGCCCACCAAGGCGACGAUCGGUAGCCGAACUGAGAGGUUGAUCGGCCACAUUGGGACUGAGACACGGCCCAGACUCCUACGGGAGGCAGCAGUGGGGAAUAUUGCGCAAUACGGGGGGAAACCCUGACGCAGCAACGCCGCGUGAAGGAUGAAGGUUUUCGGAUUGUAAACUUCUUUGAUUGGGGACGAUAAUGACGGUACCCAAAAAACAAGCCACGGCUAACUACGUGCCAGCAGCUGC